UACGUAGGGUGCAAGCGUUAAUCGGAAUUACUGGGCGUAAAGCGUGCGCAGGCGGCUUUGCAAGUCAGAUGUGAAAUCCCCGGGCUCAACCUGGGAACUGCAUUUGUGACUGCAAGGCUGGAGUACGGUAGAGGGGGAUGGAAUUCCGCGUGUAGCAGUGAAAUGCGUAGAUAUGCGGAGGAACACCGAUGGCGAAGGCAAUCCCCUGGACCUGUACUGACGCUCAUGCACGAAAGCGUGGGGAGCAAACAGG
RNAcentral lists this ribosomal RNA (253 nucleotides) under uncultured bacterium. RNAcentral's name for it is "partial 16S ribosomal RNA". It matches the Rfam family "Bacterial small subunit ribosomal RNA", at positions 524 to 776 of the family's 1533-position model. The record is from RNAcentral.